RNAcentral lists this ribosomal RNA (1313 nucleotides) under uncultured organism. RNAcentral describes it as "bacterial SSU rRNA". It matches the Rfam family "Bacterial small subunit ribosomal RNA", at positions 30 to 1353 of the family's 1533-position model. The record is from RNAcentral.
UGAACGCUGGCGGCAGGCCUAACACAUGCAAGUCGAGCGCGAAAGAUCUUCGGAUUGAGUAGAGCGGCGGACGGGUGAGUAACGCGUAGGAAUCUACCUGGUAGUGGGGGACAACUCGGGGAAACUCGAGCUAAUACCGCAUACGCCCUGAGGGGGAAAGCGGGGGAUCUUCGGACCUCGCGCUAUCGGAUGAGCCUGCGUUGGAUUAGCUAGUUGGUGGGGUAAGAGCCUACCAAGGCUGCGAUCCAUAGCUGGUCUGAGAGGAUGAUCCCCCACACUGGCACUGAGACACGGGCCAGACUCCUACGGGAGGCAGCAGUGAGGAAUAUUGGGCAAUGGGCGAAAGCUUGACCCAGCCAUGCCGCGUGCAGGAUGACUGUCCUAUGGAUCGUAAACUGCUUUUUUACGGGAAGAAUCCCCCCGUUCUUCGGGGGUUGACGGUACCGUAUGAAUAAGGAUCGGCUAACUCCGUGCCAGCAGCCGCGGUAAUACGGAGGACCCGAGUGUUAUCCGGAUUUACUGGGUUUAAAGGGUGCGCAGGCGGAAUAGUAAGUCGAUGGUGAAAGGCUACAGCUUAACUGUAGAAUUGCCAUUGAUACUGCUAUUCUUGAGUGCAGUCGAAGCGAGCGGAAUGUGUAGUGUAGCGGUGAAAUGCAUAGAUAUUACACAGAACACCGAUAGCGUAAGCAGCUCGCUAGGCUGUUACUGACGCCGAGGCACGAAAGCGUGGGUAUCGAACAGGAUUAGAUACCCUGGUAGUCCACGCUGUAAACGAUGAUCACUAGUUGUUGGCGAUAUAUUGUCAGCGACUGAGCGAAAGCGUUAAGUGAUCCACCUGGGAAGUACGUCCGCAAGGAUGAAACUCAAAGGAAUUGACGGGGGCUCGCACAACCGGUGGAACACGUGGUUCAAUUCGAUGCUACGCGAGGAACCUUACCUGGGCUUAAAUGCAGAACGACUCUUCGAGAAAUCGAAGUUCCCUUCGGGGCGUUCUACAAGGUGCUGCACGGCUGUCGUCAGCUCGUGCCAUGAGGUGUCGGGUUAAGUCCCUUAACGAGCGCAACCCCUAUUGUUAGUUGCCAGCGGGUAAUGCCGGGGACUCUAGCAAAACUGCCAGUGUAAGCUGGAGGAAGGUGGGGAUGACGUCAAGUCAGCAUGGCCCUUAUGUCCAGGGCUACACACGUGUUACAAUGGCCGGUACAAAGGGCAGCUACCACGCGAGUGGAUGCUAAUCUCUAAAGCCGGUCUUAGUUCGGAUCGGAGUCUGCAAUUCGACUUCGUGAAGGUGGAAUCGGUAGUAAUCGCGCAUCAGC